AGUGAACGCUGGCGGUAGGCCUAACACAUGCCAGUCGAACGGCAGCACAGGAGAGCUUGCUCUCUGGGUGGCGAGUGGCGGACGGGUGAGGAAUACAUCGGAAUCUACCUUUUCGUGGGGGAUAACGUAGGGAAACUUACGCUAAUACCGCAUACGACCUACGGGUGAAAGUGGGGGACCGCAAGGCCUCACGCGAUUAGAUGAGCCGAUGUCCGAUUAGCUAGUUGGCGGGGUAAUGGCCCACCAAGGCGACGAUCGGUAGCUGGUCUGAGAGGAUGAUCAGCCACACUGGAACUGAGACACGGUCCAGACUCCUACGGGAGGCAGCAGUGGGGAAUAUUGGACAAUGGGCGCAAGCCUGAUCCAGCUAUACCGCGUGGGUGAAGAAGGCCUUCGGGUUGUAAAGCCCUUUUGUUGGGAAAGAAAUCCUGUCGAUUAAUACUCGGUGGGGAUGACGGUACCCAAAGAAUAAGCACCGGCUAACUUCGUG
RNAcentral lists this ribosomal RNA (490 nucleotides) under uncultured bacterium. RNAcentral describes it as "partial 16S ribosomal RNA". It matches the Rfam family "Bacterial small subunit ribosomal RNA", at positions 29 to 507 of the family's 1533-position model. The record is from RNAcentral.